CGAAACCCUGGCUCCUCUCUCUGCUGUGCGCCCCCCCACACCAGCGGCUACCACACCGAAUCCUCAGCGCCUGUGGUAACAAAGGUGAAUCAACACCUAGACUCCUCUAUCCUUUGUUCUGCGAAUUGUUCUGUGCUUUCUCCUCGCCCUAACCUCACUCCUCUGGCUCGAAUCUGACACACAGCGCAUGAACUACAUGUACAUUGGAGCUGUUUGUGAUGAGGGAUCUCCAGGCUCGGCAUCAUCAAGAACAAGAACCACUGAGCCAAAGGUAAAAACCUGAGUCUCUGCUGUAACUGAUUUGUCACAAUAAAAUAUUUCUAUCGAUUGCAUAACCAAGGCAGAUGCUAACAUACAAAACGGAGAACUUAAGAUGCUUUCCACACGUUAUGAUUUUUUUAUAGAUAAUCCCCUCAAUGUUGCCAUGCGCUGUCAUGCUCAAUGUCUUAUUAAUUCACUGGUCCACCUAAGUAUGCCUCGGAACGCCUGCUUAAUACCUGUUUCUCGGUCAAUAUCAGCGACACAAUCUUUAGUUAAUUAUAACUGCAGUACCUACCCUGCUCUCAUAAUAAUACAGUCCCUCGUUGCUAGCUUCGAAACAUGAUAGGGCCCUAUUCUUCCCUACUAUGAAAGCCGUAGACGCAGACAAGUAGGAAAAACCAGAUUGCUUGCUAUCCUGUCGGCUGUACUUGCUAUUUACCUCGUAUAUUUUCCUGACUCUGAUGAAACGCUACUUUAUGAUCUUCCAACUGCUGAACUAAGAUCCCGUAAAAAAAAUUCAGGACAACAUGGGCACUCAAAAGUGUCAGUACGUUGUUGAUGCUACUGGAUUUGAUAAAGUUGCGGGUCUGAGGUCAACAAGAAAAAUAUAAUGCCAUCAUCUUAUGCGGGCAAACUUCGCUCGAUGACUGAAAACUUCCACGAUUCUAUAGCUGUUUCACGUGUCCAUGGCUCACCUGAUAUAUUCACAACCUUCACUUACGAUCCAAACUGGCCUGAGAUAGUUGAGGGUCUUGAGCAUGGACAACAGGCAAUCAAUGAAGCUAAUUUUGCUGCUCAAGUGUAUCAGAUGAAGUUACUUGGGUACCUGCAAGAAAUAAAGACCGGGAAAGUGUUUGGGCCUGUAGUUGUAGGUAAUGUAGCCAGUGUCUUCCCUUCCUUUUCUUUCCUUUUUCUUGUCCGUGCAUCGUACUUUUCCUAUUUUUCACUUGCCCUCUUGUUUUUCAGUCCUCCACUCCGUGGAGUUCCAGAAGAGGAGUCUGCCCCAUGCACAUAUCCUUGUUUGGCAGAAAAAAGAUAAUGGCCAAGUCAUAACACUGACCUUGCUAAAUCCUUUGUUUCAUCUGCUAUUAGUGUUUCUAUCAAAUCUAGAUUCGUCUUUGUUUUCCAGAGUUCCUUUUUCCAGAAUUCCUAAUAAUUAGCUUGACCAUGUCAUAGGGAUCUGCGUCCACUGAUGUUGAUGCCGAUGCUCCUGCGAUUGCAGCUGUUAACACCAUGGAGACUGCACUUCUGCAGACAUAAAAGCUUAUGAGGUGCCCCCUCUAUAUACAACAAAACAUACAACAUUAUUGAUUACUUAUACAAGCUAGAGUUGGCUGCAUGAAUCAUAACAAGCUUCCCACUAUGAAACCCCUUGCAAUUAAGCUUUUGGCUUUUGCUGCUUCAGUUUCUUUGUUUUCUCUUGUUGGAUUCCUAUUUUUAUACAGUACGCAUAUGCGGAACUCAUACAAUCCCUUUCCUCGGAAUUUGCUAAUUUCAGAGAUGUUGCUGCUGCUGCACAGAACAUUUCGUCAAAAAUGUUUCGUUGCUAAGUGAUCUACACUUUCGGAUGAACAUGCAUGAAAGGUAUUCCUGUUUCCACAUCCAUAGCGCCAUCACUAAUUUAUCUUUGCCUCCUGUUUCCCAAAUUGACUGAUACAUUCAUUCAUGCCUAUGCCUUGUAUCAGUAACUAAUAGACUAACUGCAUCAUAAGCUUUGCUACAAUAAUAAUUUCACUAAUGAUGUCACGUCGGUCUCUCGCCUUAUGAAAUUGCUUCUAUUUUUCAUCAGGUUCUUUUGGUCCUUGGUUCUUUCUCUCUGGUUACUUUGGAUCUAGCAACUAAAGCGUUGCCCACAAGGACAAGUGAAGCCUGCUUUGCAGUUACUGUUUUCGCACAAUUGUCCAAGUAUCCAGAAUGGCCUAUUACUAUGUUCGUCGCAUAUUUGUAAACCGCAUGUUUGGCAACCCCUGUUCAUGCGUUUCCUUGUUUAAGAUCUCAACCAGCCUAUUUCCAUGUUCUAUGGAUAUCGUUCUUAGCCCUUUGUUAAUGUACCCUAUGUCCCUCAUGACUAUUUGAACCUACUACAAAUAUUUAUUAAGCCAACCUAUCUAACGUAUGUUUGAUCACCAGUGUAAUGACUUGUAUAGUAAGCCUUGUGAACUUACGAUUUAAGCACUCAUAGACCUAAUACUACUGAUAGUCUACAAGCAAAGCAUGGCAAGCACACACACUUUUAUCAUUAAAUUUAGUUACCUAUGCCCCUCCUUACAGACAUCAAAUCGAUAACGAAACUGUGUAUAGAAAGC
Molecule: long non-coding RNA, 2567 nt
Filed under: Triticum aestivum (bread wheat)
Lineage: Eukaryota; Viridiplantae; Streptophyta; Magnoliopsida; Poales; Poaceae
Description: long non-coding RNA (TAES_LNC016382)
Source: RNAcentral